This 73-nucleotide transfer RNA is filed under the name Lactobacillus kimbladii. Its description in RNAcentral is "tRNA-Thr". The record is from RNAcentral. RNAcentral also lists the same sequence under 1 other name. Lineage: Bacteria; Bacillati; Bacillota; Bacilli; Lactobacillales; Lactobacillaceae.
GCCACUUUAGCUCAGGAGGCAGAGCACCGCCGUGGUAAGGAGGAGGUCCUCAGUUCAAAUCUGGGAAGUGGCU